This 292-nucleotide ribosomal RNA is filed under the name uncultured bacterium. RNAcentral's name for it is "partial 16S ribosomal RNA". It matches the Rfam family "Bacterial small subunit ribosomal RNA", at positions 505 to 796 of the family's 1533-position model. The record is from RNAcentral.
GUGCCAGCCGCCGCGGUAAUACGGAGGGUGCGAGCGUUAAUCGGAAUUACUGGGCGUAAAGCGCACGCAGGCGGUUUGUUAAGCUAGAUGUGAAAGCCCCGGGCUCAACCUGGGAUGGUCAUUUAGAACUGGCAGACUAGAGUCUUGGAGAGGGGAGUGGAAUUCCAGGUGUAGCGGUGAAAUGCGUAGAUAUCUGGAGGAACAUCAGUGGCGAAGGCGACUCCCUGGCCAAAGACUGACGCUCAUGUGCGAAAGUGUGGGUAGCGAACAGGAUUAGAAACCCGAGUAGUCC